Molecule: ribosomal RNA, 425 nt
Filed under: uncultured bacterium
Lineage: Bacteria
Description: partial 16S ribosomal RNA
Rfam family: Bacterial small subunit ribosomal RNA
Source: RNAcentral
GUGGGGAAUAUUGGGCAAUGGGCGAAAGCCUGACCCAGCAACGCCGCGUGAAGGAAGAAGGUCUUCGGAUCGUAAACUUCUAUCCUUGGUGAAGAUAAUGACGGUAGCCGAGAAGGAAGCCCCGGCUAACUACGUGCCAGCAGCCGCGGUAAUACGUAGGGGGCAAGCGUUGUCCGGAAUGAUUGGGCGUAAAGGGCGCGUAGGCGGCCUGGUAAGUCUGGAGUGAAAGUCCUGCUUUUAAGGUGGGAAUUGCUUUGGAUACUGUCGGGCUUGAGUGCAGGAGAGGUAAGCGGAAUUCCCGGUGUAGCGGUGAAAUGCGUAGAGAUCGGGAGGAACACCAGUGGCGAAGGCGGCUUACUGGACUGUAACUGACGCUGAGGCGCGAAAGUGUGGGGAGCAAACAGGAUUAGAUACCCGAGUAGUCC